UACGUAGGUGGCGAGCGUUGUCCGGAUUUACUGGGCGUAAAGCGCGCGCAGGCGGUCCGGUAAGUCUCCGGUGAAAUCGCCCGGCUCAACUGGGAGGGUGCGCCGGAAACUGGAGUGCUUGAGCGUGGGAGAGGAAAGCGGAAUUCCUGGUGUAGCGGUGAAAUGCGUAGAUAUCAGGAGGAACACCUGUGGUGUAGACGGCUUUCUGGACCAUAGCUGACGCUGAGACACGAAAGCGUGGGUAGCAAACAGG
Molecule: ribosomal RNA, 253 nt
Filed under: uncultured bacterium
Lineage: Bacteria
Description: partial 16S ribosomal RNA
Rfam family: Bacterial small subunit ribosomal RNA
Source: RNAcentral